This is a non-coding RNA of Tinamus guttatus (white-throated tinamou), 125 nucleotides long. The record is from RefSeq and is a predicted model, not a curated record. Lineage: Eukaryota; Metazoa; Chordata; Aves; Tinamiformes; Tinamidae.
GGAGAGGACUGCGAGCUCUCCCACUCGGCCCCUCAGUUUGGCUCCAUCUACCAUGUCAAAGGAGUCAUCAACCUGCCCUAUGCCGAGAUCGAGGAGCCCUUCGAGGCCUGGUACAACCUCACCGG